Molecule: long non-coding RNA, 519 nt
Organism: Cuculus canorus (common cuckoo)
Lineage: Eukaryota; Metazoa; Chordata; Aves; Cuculiformes; Cuculidae
Exons: 3
Source: RefSeq, a predicted model, not a curated record
UUACUAGUUCAAGGUCCAUCUAUUUAUGGACAUUAACAAUGUGAGAAGGCUUUUGGUUUUGUAUUUAUCUUCAUUUUGAAAUUAAAAUGAAAUACAGAACUUCAUUUCAUAAUUAUUAAAUCCUUCUUUUGUCUUGUUGAUAUCUGCUAUAGAAAUGAUCAAGUCAAGAAAUUUAAUGUCAACUCUCUAUCAGUCAACUGUCUUGGAGCCAAAGGAGUUACUUCUGGUCUUCUACUGCCCGAUAAAUUCGUCAGACCACAGUCACCUCACUGAAGGAGCAACUUCCCUGAGACUUCAAACUGGAUAUCUACGAUAGUGUUCAAAUUUAGGCUAUGGCCACGGUAAAACGGCUGCACAAGGUCUUGUUUGCUGUUCUUCUAGCCCAAUAUUUACUUCCUGAUUUCUACUCUCACCAGCUGCUUGCAAAGGCUUUACUCUUUCCAGCCUGCUCCUGCUCCAGCCUGAGACUUCACAGUUUCCUCUUUAACUAAUUUUUUUUGAGGCAUCAGCUUCUGUGCU